This 247-nucleotide ribosomal RNA is filed under the name uncultured Lactobacillus sp. Its description in RNAcentral is "partial 16S ribosomal RNA". It matches the Rfam family "Bacterial small subunit ribosomal RNA", at positions 116 to 355 of the family's 1533-position model. Lineage: Bacteria; Bacillati; Bacillota; Bacilli; Lactobacillales; Lactobacillaceae. The record is from RNAcentral.
CGUGGGGAACCUGCCCCAUAGUCUGGGAUACCACUUGGAAACAGGUGCUAAUACCGGAUAAGAAAGCGGAUCGCAUGAUCAGCUUUUAAAAGGCGGCGUAAGCUGUCGCUAUGGGAUGGCCCCGCGGUGCAUUAGCUAGUUGGUAAGGUAAAGGCUUACCAAGGCGAUGAUGCAUAGCCGAGUUGAGAGACUGAUCGGCCACAUUGGGACUGAGACACGGCCCAAACUCCUACGGGAGGCAGCAGCU